CAGCAGCCGCGGUAAUACGAAGGGUGCAAGCGUUAAUCGGAAUUACUGGGCGUAAAGCGUGCGUAGGCGGUUUCUUAAGUCUGCUGUGAAAUCCCCGGGCUCAACCUGGGAAUGGCAGUGGAUACUGGGAAGCUAGAGCGUGUCAGAGGAUGGUGGAAUUCCCGGUGUAGCGGUGAAAUGCGUAGAGAUCGGGAGGAACAUCAGUGGCGAAGGCGGCCAUCUGGGACAACACUGACGCUGAGGCACGAAAGCGUGGGGAGCAAACAGGAUUAGAUACCCCUGUAGUCCCUGUCUCUUAUAC
RNAcentral lists this ribosomal RNA (301 nucleotides) under uncultured bacterium. RNAcentral describes it as "partial 16S ribosomal RNA". It matches the Rfam family "Bacterial small subunit ribosomal RNA", at positions 509 to 807 of the family's 1533-position model. The record is from RNAcentral.